This 459-nucleotide ribosomal RNA is filed under the name uncultured bacterium. RNAcentral's name for it is "SSU rRNA". It matches the Rfam family "Bacterial small subunit ribosomal RNA", at positions 26 to 518 of the family's 1533-position model. The record is from RNAcentral.
AGAAUCAACGCUGGCGGCGUGCCUAACACAUGCAAGUCGAACGAGAAAGGGGAGCAAUCCCUGAGUAAAGUGGCGCACGGGUGAGUAACACGUGACUAACCUACCCUGGAGUGGGGGAUAACUGAGGGAAACCUUAGCUAAUACCGCAUAACACCUACGGGUCAAAGGAGCAAUUCGCUUUGGGAGGGGGUCGCGGCCGAUUAGUUAGUUGGCGGGGUAAUGGCCCACCAAGACAGUGAUCGGUAUCCGGCCUGAGAGGGCGCACGGACACACUGGAACUGAAACACGGUCCAGACUCCUACGGGAGGCAGCAGUGGGGAAUUUUGCGCAAUGGGGGAAACCCUGACGCAGCAACGCCGCGUGGAGGAUGAAGUACUUCGGUACGUAAACUCCUUUCGAUCGGGACGAUAAUGACGGUACCGGAAGAAGAAGCCCGGCUAACUUCGUGCCAGCAGCCGC